RNAcentral lists this ribosomal RNA (254 nucleotides) under uncultured bacterium. Its description in RNAcentral is "partial 16S ribosomal RNA". It matches the Rfam family "Bacterial small subunit ribosomal RNA", at positions 524 to 776 of the family's 1533-position model. The record is from RNAcentral.
CACGUAGGGGGCGAGCGUUGUCCGGAUUUAUUGGGCGUAAAGAGCUCGUAGGCGGCUCGGUAAGUCGGGUGUGAAAACUCUAGGCUCAACCUAGAGACGCCACCUGAUACUGCUGUGGCUAGAGUCCGGUAGGGGAGCAUGGAAUUCCUGGUGUAGCGGUGAAAUGCGCAGAUAUCAGGAGGAACACCCGUAGCGAAGGCGGCACUCUGGGCCGAUACUGACACUGAGGAGCGAAAGCGUGGGGAGCGAACAGG